This 444-nucleotide ribosomal RNA is filed under the name uncultured bacterium. RNAcentral describes it as "bacterial SSU rRNA". It matches the Rfam family "Bacterial small subunit ribosomal RNA", at positions 354 to 796 of the family's 1533-position model. The record is from RNAcentral.
GUAGGGAAUAUUGGGCAAUGGUCGGAAGACUGACCCAGCCAUGCCGCGUGCAGGAAGACGGCCCUCUGGGUUGUAAACUGCUUUUAUCUGGGAAGAAAAAGGCCAUGCGUGGCAAAUUGCCGGUACCAGAUGAAUAAGCACCGGCUAACUCCGUGCCAGCAGCCACGGUAAUACGGAGGGUGCAAGCGUUGUCCGGAUUUAUUGGGUUUAAAGGGUGCGUAGGCGGCUGAUUAAGUCAGCGGUGAAAGACUCCGGCUUAACCGGAGCAGUGCCGUUGAUACUGGUUAGCUUGAGUGUUGGAGGGGUACAUGGAAUUGAUGGUGUAGCGGUGAAAUGCAUAGAUACCAUCAGGAACACCGAUAGCGAAGGCAUUGUACUGGCCAACAACUGACGCUGAUGCACGAAAGUGUGGGGAUCGAACAGGAUUAGAUACCCGAGUAGUCC